Molecule: ribosomal RNA, 1372 nt
Filed under: uncultured bacterium
Lineage: Bacteria
Description: bacterial SSU rRNA
Rfam family: Bacterial small subunit ribosomal RNA
Source: RNAcentral
GAUGAACGCUGGCGGCGUGCCUAAUACAUGCAAGUCGAGCGAACGGACGAGAAGCUUGCUUCUCUGAUGUUAGCGGCGGACGGGUGAGUAACACGUGGAUAACCUACCUAUAAGACUGGGAUAACUUCGGGAAACCGGAGCUAAUACCGGAUAAUAUUUUGAACCGCAUGGUUCAAAAGUGAAAGACGGUCUUGCUGUCACUUAUAGAUGGAUCCGCGCUGCAUUAGCUAGUUGGUAAGGUAACGGCUUACCAAGGCAACGAUGCAUAGCCGACCUGAGAGGGUGAUCGGCCACACUGGAACUGAGACACGGUCCAGACUCCUACGGGAGGCAGCAGUAGGGAAUCUUCCGCAAUGGGCGAAAGCCUGACGGAGCAACGCCGCGUGAGUGAUGAAGGUCUUCGGAUCGUAAAACUCUGUUAUUAGGGAAGAACAUAUGUGUAAGUAACUGUGCACAUCUUGACGGUACCUAAUCAGAAAGCCACGGCUAACUACGUGCCAGCAGCCGCGGUAAUACGUAGGUGGCAAGCGUUAUCCGGAAUUAUUGGGCGUAAAGCGCGCGUAGGCGGUUUUUUAAGUCUGAUGUGAAAGCCCACGGCUCAACCGUGGAGGGUCAUUGGAAACUGGAAAACUUGAGUGCAGAAGAGGAAAGUGGAAUUCCAUGUGUAGCGGUGAAAUGCGCAGAGAUAUGGAGGAACACCAGUGGCGAAGGCGACUUUCUGGUCUGUAACUGACGCUGAUGUGCGAAAGCGUGGGGAUCAAACAGGAUUAGAUACCCUGGUAGUCCACGCCGUAAACGAUGAGUGCUAAGUGUUAGGGGGUUUCCGCCCCUUAGUGCUGCAGCUAACGCAUUAAGCACUCCGCCUGGGGAGUACGACCGCAAGGUUGAAACUCAAAGGAAUUGACGGGGACCCGCACAAGCGGUGGAGCAUGUGGUUUAAUUCGAAGCAACGCGAAGAACCUUACCAAAUCUUGACAUCCUUUGACAACUCUAGAGAUAGAGCCUUCCCCUUCGGGGGACAAAGUGACAGGUGGUGCAUGGUUGUCGUCAGCUCGUGUCGUGAGAUGUUGGGUUAAGUCCCGCAACGAGCGCAACCCUUAAGCUUAGUUGCCAUCAUUAAGUUGGGCACUCUAAGUUGACUGCCGGUGACAAACCGGAGGAAGGUGGGGAUGACGUCAAAUCAUCAUGCCCCUUAUGAUUUGGGCUACACACGUGCUACAAUGGACAAUACAAAGGGCAGCGAAACCGCGAGGUCAAGCAAAUCCCAUAAAGUUGUUCUCAAUUCGGAUUGUAGUCUGCAACUCGACUACAUGAAGCUGGAAUCACUAGUAAUCGUAGAUCAGCAUGCUACGGUGAAUACGUUCCCGGGUCU